CGCGGCCUAUCAGCUUGUUGGUGGGGUGAUGGCCUACCAAGGCGACGACGGGUAGCCGGCCUGAGAGGGUGACCGGCCACACUGGGACUGAGACACGGCCCAGACUCCUACGGGAGGCAGCAGUGGGGAAUAUUGCACAAUGGGCGGAAGCCUGAUGCAGCGACGCCGCGUGGGGGAUGACGGCCUUCGGGUUGUAAACCCCUUUCGCCCGGGACGAAGCGAGAGUGACGGUACCGGGAGAAGAAGCACCGGCCAACUACGUGCCAGCAGCCGCGGUAAUACGUAGGGUGCAAGCGUUGUCCGGAAUUAUUGGGCGUAAAGAGCUCGUAGGCGGUUUGUCGCGUCUGCUGUGAAAACUGGAGGCUCAACCUUCAGCCUGCAGUGGGUACGGGCAGACUAGAGUGCGGUAGGGGAGAUUGGAAUUCCUGGUGUAGCGGUGGAAUGCGCAGAUAUCAGGAGGAACACCGAUGGCGAAGGCAGAUCUCUGGGCCGUAACUGACGCUGAGGAGCGAAAGAGUGGGGAGCAAACAGGCUUAGAUACCCUGGUAGUCCACUCCGUAAACGUUGGGAACUAGUUGUGGGGGCCUUUCCACGGUCUCCGUGACGCAGCUAACGCAUUAAGUUCCCCGCCUGGGGAGUACGG
RNAcentral lists this ribosomal RNA (643 nucleotides) under uncultured bacterium. RNAcentral describes it as "bacterial SSU rRNA". It matches the Rfam family "Bacterial small subunit ribosomal RNA", at positions 232 to 885 of the family's 1533-position model. The record is from RNAcentral.